UACGGAGGGUGCGAGCGUUGUCCGGAAUCACUGGGCGUAAAGGGCGCGUAGGCGGCCUGAUAAGUAGGGGGUGAAAUCCUGCGGCUUAACCGCAGGGCUGCCUUCUAAACUGUCAGGCUAGAGCACAGUAGAGGCAGGUGGAAUUCCCGGUGUAGCGGUGGAAUGCGUAGAGAUCGGGAAGAACAUCAGUGGCGAAGGCGGCCUGCUGGGCCGACACUGACGCUGAUGCGCGAAAGCCAGGGGAGCGAACGGG
Molecule: ribosomal RNA, 253 nt
Filed under: uncultured bacterium
Lineage: Bacteria
Description: partial 16S ribosomal RNA
Rfam family: Bacterial small subunit ribosomal RNA
Source: RNAcentral